Zeugodacus cucurbitae (melon fly) is the source of this 6709-nucleotide long non-coding RNA. RefSeq lists it as uncharacterized. The record is from RefSeq and is a predicted model, not a curated record. The transcript has 8 exons. Lineage: Eukaryota; Metazoa; Arthropoda; Insecta; Diptera; Tephritidae.
CAUCUAUCUAUCUACUAUUCACAAUUGAAAAAGCGACACAAAUUAUUGAUUACCGUUUUCACGACAGUCGGACAAACGGACCCGCAAUUUUAUCUGGCCAAUGACUGUUAAAUCGGCAGCAUUCCUCAAAAUUAUUUGGGGAAUGUUAUAUGCCGCUACAACAACAACAACAAUUUAUUGAAUUAUUGGUAAAAGGAACAAUACCAAUAUACAUAUAUAUUUGUUGUUUUUCUUUUGAUUAAAUAAAACGUAAGGCAUCGACGCAACUCUAAACAAAGGGCAAAAAAUAAAUAAAUUUAUUUAAUUUAUCUCCACCAAAAAAAAAAAAACACUAUUGCGCAUGCUUAAGACGACAAUUUUGUUGCACUACAAGUGCUUCCUUUUCGUUGGAAUUACUUGAUAGUGUGUUCCAUUGACUUUUCUAUUAGCAGUGACAGACGAGCAAAAUUAAUGCACCUUAAAAAAUGUUAUGCUGAGAGACGGCAGAUUUGUGCAUUUAGACAUCUGAAAUCUGAUUAUCGGCCAUUUUGGGCAGUAGUGCCAACUCAAAAUUGGUAAAUUCACAUAAAUGCACGAAAUUUUUGUACAUUCUAAUUUGCAUGAAAAUGGAUGAAAUGUGCAAAUUAAUGCAAAUCAAAUCCGCUAGUGCAAAAUAGACAUGCCGUUUGUUAAUGCUAUGUAACGCUUAACCAAUCGAUAACAGCUAGUGAAUAGUUUUACAGACAACUAUUUUGUUUGUGGUGAGUUGACGAGAAAGCAUUUACUACCCAGCAUGUCAUGGGUACUGAAACUUCAACACAUUCAAAGAAAUUUUAAUAACACCACUACAUACACACAUAUGCAACAAAGGGCGAAAUGUGCAUAAACAUUUACCUGAACUCUUCUUUCGUACAGCACCCUGAAUGAUAGAAAGAAACAACCAAAGUUCUCGUUUUUAAACAAGUUUUGUUUUGAGUUAUAUCAUGGCUGCUUGUGAAGUAUUAUUUUGCGUGUUUUAUUUAAAUCAGUGAUCUGUAGCCUAAUUAAAGUUUAAAUUAUUGAAGCACGCAUUUUUAAAUAAGUUAAACGUAAAAUAAAAGUUUGCUAAGGCCAAAAUAUGGAAUUGAAGAUUACAUUGCAUUGUCAAUUCGAAGCACGGAAUAGAAGCUACGCCAACAAUGGUCAACAUCAAGGGCGAAACCAUUGAAUACAUAUUUCAAACCUCAAACGGCGCGUUAAAGGUACGCAACCUAAUUGGUGUCACUUAGGGCAGCAGCGUAGAACUUUCGACUCGAUGGAAUAUGUGCUGCAAGCAAAUCCAGAACUAUGGAUGCAAACGCUGCUAUAUCGAACACAAAUCAUUUACACACCAGAUAUUAGGUUUAAUGUCACUUUUUUACGUGCAAUUAAACCUUUUGCUCAACAAAAGCACGAGAAUUGGAAGGAAGCAAGGCACGAGGAAUUUAGGUGAUUUUGUAACCGUUUAUCAUCGCGACGUGUGUAAACUGGGUUUUGCCAAUGAGCAAGAGGGCAAAGGAAAUGCAGUAUUUUUGGACUUACCGGCACCUCAGUUGGCCGUUUAUUUAAGUGAUUGUUUGUGAUCAUAAAAAUUUAAAAACUUCUUGUAUGUUCAAUUAGGAGGACUUUUUUGAUUCAUUUUCAUCUGGUAUUGAGCAAUCAUAACGUUGUUGUAUCGCUUUACAAGGACAUGGAUUCACCGAAAUUAGUUCAAUCGAAAUACUACAGCAAGAGCAUGGAUGUUAAGACUAGAACGUUGCCAGUGCUAGAUUUAGAAUUCCCGAAACAUAAGAAACCCUCCUCCCAGAAAUUGGAUGAAUUGAAAUUAAUGAAAGAACAGAUCUUCCAAAAACUUCUAAAGAAACCAAAAGAGUCCUCACAUAUUGUGCGCAGCUUACACUUCCAGGCUGCUCGGGAUAUUUGACAUUUGCCACUCUUCCUCCAGCCUUUGUCAGAUAGCAAAAAUUGUUCAACUAUUCAAUACGUUUUGGUUCGCAGUUUUGGGUUUUUCAUCCGUGAAAAAAAUACCAAGAACAGUACUGGAAGUGCACCUGUUGUUUUGGUUCGCAGUUUUGGGACUUUCAUCCGUGAUUGUACCAAUACCAUUCCCCAAAUUGUGCAUGAGGUAUAUAUACAUUGCUAAAUGAUGAAUGUAAUGUGCAAGAAAGGGAUGAAUGAUCACACGUACACAAGAGUUUCGUGUACUUUUGUAAAUUCGCCCUUAAGAAUGGCAUAGAAAUUUUCAUUGAAACUGCGGGUACCGCUCCCUGGCAUUGGAUAGAAAUCAAAUAUUGCGGUUGUUGGCCGCACAAUUAGUAAAAAAUCACUAAUUACUAAAAAAUAUACAUAAAUACGUUAUUAUUAGAACUUCUAUUUUAGAAAAAAUAGCUAUUUCAUUGCAUGCGUAUGUUUUUGUUUACAUUUGUAUGAAAAACAGCUGUCAGUAUUGCAUAUUUUCAUUCACAAUAGAGUUUAACAAUUUUGCCAACGAAAAUGCCACGAACUCCCACUAACUCUCUAAAAUUUUGAGGAUUAAAUGGGAGUUAGCAAACGGAGUUAACUGAGGUAACUCUAGAAUUAACCCCGAUUAGAGCAGUUAAUCUGAAUUAACGCCGCCGUCUGUCAGGGGUAUAAGUCUUCCAUACAAAAUAAGCUAAUAGCUUAAUUUGCUGGUCAAAUAAGACACGCCUAAUAUGGAGAAAUUGUUUGAGAAAUUGCUUCUUUAUUGAAUUGUUCUCGGAAAAUUGUUUACAAUCCCCUUAAAAUUAUAAAUACCGACGAGAUCAAUUUCAAUAAAAACGUAAAAAAGCAGAAUAACCUCCAAAAACAAAAACUUAUGAAAAUAGAGCCAUUUCUGAAAAGGGGAGGUCGAUCCUUUCAAGUCUGGAGAACAAAAAAUUAAAGAAAAUAAUUAAUAAUAUGGGCUAAACAUAUCACGGGAAACUGUAGGAAGACGUUUAUAGAGACUACAGCUUUUUGGAAGCCAGAGUAGAAAAAAACUACGAAUGUCAAAAAGGCACAUCCAAGCUCGUAUACACUUCGCGAGGGGACAUAAGGAUUAGGACUCUAUUUUUAUAGUACUGUUUAUCGUCCUAAAGGUCAAUCGUUGAAUUCCAGGUACACGACAACAACAGUAAAAUAAACAAACGGAAAUUUUAUGAAAUGGAGUGCUCGUGUCUGGCACAGAGUGGGCCCAAUUUUUCGAAUAAAUGGGAAAAUCGACUGGUUUUUCUAUUUAGACAUAUUAAGAAACGAAAUGGAAUCAUUUGUUUUUAAUUGAUUGCCACUCCACUGGUCUUUUAUGCAGGAUAACGACCUUAAGGACACAAUGAAGGAUACAAAGUAUUGGCAUAUGACAAAAUAAAUAAUGUUUGGAUUGAUCAGUGCAUAGCUCUGACCUUAAUCCAAUAGAAAACUUAUGAAGUGAUGUAAAACUUAAAAUUUAUGCUGGAAUUACAAGAAUAUUGAGGAUUUGUGUGGAAGUGUUGAGGAAACUCUCGUAUUCAUUCCAUUGGAGUGAUAAUAGUUUUUAUUUUAAAAUUGGGGUCCAGUAUUAAGUACUAAAAACGUAUUUUUAUUGUGAAUAUUUUUGAAUGAAUUAGUAAAUAAGUACAUAAUAAUUAUUUAAGUCCGUUUCAAUCUUAGAUAAAGAUCAUUUUCAAUUAUAUAACCGCUUAUUGCAACGUAUGGCUAAGUGUGCUAUUUGGGUGACCAUUGCUGUACAUCUUGCAAACAGAUGUUUGGAAAUCAUUAGCACAAUUUGUUGAUUUUCAAACAAUAAUAACCUUUUUGUAAAAUAAAUAUAGUACAAUAAGAUUAGAAUUCAGAAACCUUGCCUUUCGCACAGCCGGCUAAUCGAUUAACGAUCAGGUGUUAUAUAUUUUUGUUGAUAAGUUUUAAUACUUAUUGCUAUUUUAUCAAUAACCACAGCCAAAUUUCCUGCAUUGAGUUGCCUUCCAUUUUCAACAGAUCAACGUAAUACAAUUUUUCUUUUAAUCAAGUUAAGUUCGAUUAUUUGAUCAAUUAAGUUCUGUGCGAAAAGCCUCAAAUUGGUCGAAGAAUUUUAUUAAGAUUUAUGUUAAUUUUUUGAAGUUAUCUCUUUCACGGACGGAGUGACAGAAAGAUACCUGGAAAUCAGUUGGCCUAAUAUUUUUAUUUGCAUUAAUUUAAAAUGUAAUAAUAUUCGUAGAUAUUUUAUUAAUAACACAUAAUACAUAAUUUGUUGAUAUCCUUGUUCCCUUAUAAAUACAUACAUAUGCAUAUCCAUUGACAGAUACGUAUGUACAUAUAUCUUAUUAAUUGGAAUUGGUUCACGUUUAGCAUAAAAAUAACACUCAAGAAAACAAUCUGACAGAUCUUAACGGUAUUAAGUCAAUUAGAGAGAAUAAACUAACCAUUAUAAUGGCUAGGUGGGGGCUUAGGGAGUUUUUGAUUUUUUAUUUCGAUAUCUUCGUUAAUGCUUGAACUAUCUAUUGUAUAUAUAGUGUAUAUGUAGAACUCUCGCACAUCCUUCAAAACUGCAUUGUUAGUUAUUCUAAAUUGCGUCGACAGUUUUCGGAACUUAACAAAAAAUGUUAUAAAAACUACAAAAUCAAAGUAAAAUAAAAUUAUUCGUUACACAAUUUGUUUUGGCUCAUAUAAAAAUUUAAUAUUAUUGUCUCUCAAGGGUAUAAUUAAUUUUUCGGUAGAGUCUGCACAUAAAAAAUACACGAAAAAUGUUUUCUAAAGAUAUAUUUGUCCCAACUGUAGUUAAGAAUACAUAUCGCUCAGAAAUGUGCGCAAUUUCAUCGUCCAUAUUGUAUAAACAUUUCAUUCUGAUGCUUGGAAAAACAAAGCUUGAAAUAAGAAUGUGCCGCUAUUAAAUUUGUUAUGUUGUAUUAUUUUUUAACCACAAUAACGACAUAUUUCAGUUGUGCCAGAAUUAGGCAUGGUUUUUUUCAGAAAGAAAGACCAAUUUUGUGUUACAAUGGUGAAUUCGGUUUUCUUUUCAGAAAGAACUUACAUUUUUAUACUCUUGCAACAUGUUGCACAGAGUAUUAUACUUUUGUUCACAUAACGGUUGUUUGUGUCACCAAAAAGUAAAAUAGUUAGAUAUGGGGUUAUAUAUAUGUAAAUGAUCAGGAUGACGAGUGGAGUUGAAAUCCGGAAGUCUGUCCGUCGGGUGGAAUAUGGGUGAAAUCGGUUCACAACCACGCUCAACUCAAUUUUGAAUUCCAUCUGAUUCGUUCACUUUAUAAUAUAUACCAUUGAAGAUAUCGGAAUAAAAUUUUCAACAAUUACUGUAUUUGAGCUGUGACAUCACUUGUGGAAAAAUUGUCAAAAUUGGACCAUGACUUUUCAAGGCCCCUGAUAUCGAACAUGAAGUUCCUAAGGGUAAUUUUUUACUGAAAAUAUAGUUUGUCUCUGUACAAAAAAUUGUUAAAAUCGGGUCAUAACUUGAUCUGGGUUUUUUAAAUGUAAAAGUAUUUGUCACAACCAUUUCGCAUUUAAUUUUACUGUUUCUCCAUACGAUGACAGAGAAGUUGACGCUUACAUUUUUCCAUCGAUCAUUCUAACAGAAACACGUGUUGCGUGCGCAAAUACUUUAAUUUGGGUUUUAUAGUGAAGCUGCGCAAAAGGAGCUUACAUAGUUUGCAUUUGCAUUAGUGUUCCUGCCGCAUCGCCCGCUGCUUACGAAGGCUGUUUAAAAGGGACUUCCACAGAUUUUUUUUAUAUAAAAGACGACAUUUGCGAAAAGUCUACUCUGCAGUUUACACUAUGAGUGAGGAGUUGAUACCAUCAACUGAGCUGUCGUUAUUUGCCGAGCAAUGUCCGUUGGGAGAUGAGUCCCCUACAACGGAAAAUGUCGACAAUGAGUCCGUAGUAAUUUUGGAUAGUGAUGAACAGUUAAUUAAUUUAUUGUGUUCGUGGGAUUUGUCGUCAAAUGCAUUGAUACAGUUCAAUAGAUGUGGUUUAAAGAGUGUAGCAAUUUUGCAGAUGAUCCAUUCCCACGACAUUGACGAAAUUUUUAAUGCCAGAUAACUAAUUGCGGACAAAAUUAAGUUCCGGUACAACUUGCAAAAAUGGCGUUUAGAAAAUAAUUUCGAUAUGCUCACGUGCUGUAGUGGUGAUAGAACUAUAACAAACCUUUCAUCCAUUCGAAGCUGGCUGAGCUCUGCAAGCACACCUUCAACAUCCCCAAACAACGAACCCAACGUCGAAGAGGUUUUAAAAGAAACAGUAGCAGGUAACGACAUAAUAAAGAAGUACAAAAACUGUGAUUGCCUCCAAGAAAGUGACCAAUCUGCAAUAGUUCGCAUUAUUGUGGAUAAUUACUUAAUACGUGAUAUUAAAAUGACCCCGAUCACCAUGAAAACUGUUGCCGAACAGAUUGUCAAACUGUUUUCUAAAGAACAAGAAUCGGUGUAUUACGUACCCAGGACAAACAAAAAAAACGCAACUGGGAAAUUAUAUGAUAGAUACUUUAGCGUUUAACUAUAGAAAACAAUUAUUUGCUUAUGAUCCAUCUCACGUCAAAGGUUUAAGUAAUCCUUUAACGAAGGCUCAAAUUAAGACUAAUAAUAUUAAAAUGAACGCUUAUGAAAUGAAACUGUUUUUAAAUACUAUUUUGUUAAUGAUUGGGGACUUAAUAGAUGAAUUUGAUUCAGUAUAUACAUUUUUAAUAACGUUUAUUAAAAUUGUUGAUAUUGUUAUGUAUGAGGAGUUCAGUGAC